Branchiostoma floridae (Florida lancelet) is the source of this 909-nucleotide long non-coding RNA. RefSeq lists it as uncharacterized. The record is from RefSeq and is a predicted model, not a curated record. Lineage: Eukaryota; Metazoa; Chordata; Leptocardii; Amphioxiformes; Branchiostomatidae. The transcript has 2 exons.
GAUCUACGGGGGGCUGGAAAGGUGCCAGUCUGGGUAAGGCGCCGAAGAAUGAAGCAUCAGUCGUAAGACUCUUAUGCAUUGAUCCUUUAUAGAUUAAUGAUAAGCAGAUUGAAAAUGUUUUAGAGAAUGUGAUAUGGCGACUGGAGUCGUUUUGAAUGGCCUUGUGGCGCACGCGGGAAAAUUAAGGUGAAGGAGAGGCUCUACCUUACUUGGGCACUGAAUGGAUCCCCGAAAUAAAUCAAAGCCCAUGGCAGGGUACGGCUCUACAAGCCGGGGAUGAUGAAACAAAACUAUCUCUUCCUUGAAGAGUCGUACCUGGCUUUGGGUGCCGUCUUCACGUCGCUCACGGGCGCCUCCUAGCGGUUGGUUACGGCUCUGCUCUAACGAGGACUGCACCUGUACUGGCGACGACUGGCAGCUUGCUGAGAAUUUAUUGCGUUAACGUUCAUAGAUAACGUCCUUGACAGAAACUUGUAAGAGAAACCGUGUAACAGCGCCACCCUGCAGAGAAUAAUUGUAUUGCAGCAUUCAUCAGCAAACAGGAUUUGAGGGAUGACUAUACUAGUGCUAUUGUAUGUUCAGAUAUUUUGCAACAUAGCAACAAAUUACAUUUACUAUCAGCAGAAACAUUGUGAUCAAAUGAACCCUAAUGGGGUCUGAAAAAGGCUUAGGUUCGGUAGACUGGAAGCCAGCCUCUGAGGCUUUAUAUAUUGAACAGUUCCCAGGAUCAGUGACGGCUCCAUAAGCAGGGGCUGUGUGCCAGGCUAGCCCCUGGUUGUUGGGCCGAUACCUGGCUUUGUGGAAAAUACAUCCUAAACUCAGUACACUGGAACAAGUAUGGUAAAUGCAUUUCUGCUGUUGAUUAGAUGAAUAAAGAGUAAUAGAUGUAGUUAUUGUUCCAUUUCCCAC